CAUUGGCAAGAGUGGGGACAUGGAAGCUGUGUUCAGGCCGGUCCACGCUGGGUGACCCAUGUGACCUGCUGCUUAGCAAUUCCUUGUCACCAUCUUCCCUUCUCAGCCUCUUUUUUCAUGCUAACAGGCAUAAAUGAAAUGAUAAAAGUUUGAGCUCUUCUCGUGGAAUUCUCGUGAUACAGAUAUGUGCUACAUGUUCAUCAUCUCGUUGGUCUUCACCAUGAUAACUGUGGAGUAAGAAUUAUAAGCAGGUCACAGAUUAGGGACUUGAGAUUGACAGUUUGGCUUCCCUGUUCUGGGUGGCAAAGCCUGUGGAGUACUCACCUACCUGCUGCAUGAAGGCAGCAUGGAGGGACUGUGGUGGAUUAUCUGCAAAGAUGGCCAAAAUUCUCUCAUCCCUGCAGGCACAUACAAGAUGCCAGAAUCAGUCAAAACUAAGCUCACUGUCCUUGCUAAUAUUCUGCCCCAGAGAAGAACUGAAGCUCAGCUCUUCACCCUACAGAAAGCCUGAAUUUUGUAAAUGUUCUGCUUAGAAUGAGGAAGAAAGAUGAAGAAUGAGGAGGAAGAAGGAAGGAACGAGAGAGAGGUAAAGCCAACAAGCAGAACAGACCUACAUUUGCAGCAUCUCCAAGUUUCUGCAACAGCAUUAUGUUGUUGUUAUGUUUUGUUUUAAUAAAAGCACAUACCAUUUGGUUGUUGCAUGGCAUAAGUAAAGUGACAGUUAUAGGAUACAUGCAACUUUUCAGUGACAAAGAUCUGUGCAGCAUCGACAGUACUGCCUAAUGAGGUUUCAGCCAGGUUUCCAGAAGUUCCCCAGUCAUUGAGCAUUUCUGAGGCUCUUGAUGCAUAUGCCAAGUAGUUAUGGAGAAAGACACAGCAGCUUACCUCUGCAGGCAUCAUUGUGUGAAAGGAAGACCCAGGCUCUCUCACCACCCUUGAACAGAAGCC
Molecule: long non-coding RNA, 948 nt
Filed under: Homo sapiens (human)
Lineage: Eukaryota; Metazoa; Chordata; Mammalia; Primates; Hominidae
Description: HSALNT0026618
Source: RNAcentral